GAUGAAGAACGCAGCGAAAUGCGAUAAGUAAUGUGAAUUGCAGAAUUCAGUGAAUCAUCGAAUCUUUGAACGCACAUUGCGCCCCUUGGUAUUCCGAGGGGCAUGCCUGUUCGAGCGUCAUUAUAACCCCUCAAGCUCAGCUUGGUGUUGGGGCCUGCUGCACUGGCAGCCCUUAAAAUCAGUGGCGGCGCCAUCUGGCUCUAAGCGUAGUAAUUCUUCUCGCUAUGGAGUCCUGGUGGAUGCUUGCCAUCAACCCCCAAUUUUUCUAUGGUUGACCUCGGAUCAGGUAGUGAUACCCGCUGAACUUAAGCAUAUCAAUAAGCGGAGGA
This 329-nucleotide unclassified non-coding RNA is filed under the name soil metagenome. Its description in RNAcentral is "partial contains 5.8S ribosomal RNA, internal transcribed spacer 2, and large subunit ribosomal RNA". The stretch from base 1 to 120 matches the Rfam family "5.8S ribosomal RNA", at positions 35 to 154 of the family's 154-position model. The record is from RNAcentral.